GACGAACGCUGGCGGCGUGCUUAACACAUGCAAGUCGAACGGAAAGGCCCUGCUUGCAGGGUACUCGAGUGGCGAACGGGUGAGUAACACGUGGGUGAUCUGCCCUGCACUUCGGGAUAAGCCUGGGAAACUGGGUCUAAUACCGGAUAGGAGCCAUUUUUAGUGUGAUGGUUGGAAAGUUUUUUCGGUGUAGGAUGAGCUCGCGGCCUAUCAGCUUGUUGGUGGGGUAAUGGCCUACCAAGGCGGCGACGGGUAGCCGGCCUGAGAGGGUGGACGGCCACAUUGGGACUGAGAUACGGCCCAGACUCCUACGGGAGGCAGCAGUGGGGAAUAUUGCACAAUGGGCGCAAGCCUGAUGCAGCGACGCCGCGUGGGGGAUGACGGCCUUCGGGUUGUAAACUCCUUUCGCUAGGGACGAAGCUUUUUGUGACGGGACCUAGAUAAGAAGCACCGGCUAACUACGG
This 464-nucleotide ribosomal RNA is filed under the name uncultured bacterium. Its description in RNAcentral is "partial 16S ribosomal RNA". It matches the Rfam family "Bacterial small subunit ribosomal RNA", at positions 28 to 506 of the family's 1533-position model. The record is from RNAcentral.